This 520-nucleotide ribosomal RNA is filed under the name uncultured Glomus. RNAcentral's name for it is "SSU rRNA". It matches the Rfam family "Eukaryotic small subunit ribosomal RNA", at positions 569 to 1093 of the family's 1831-position model. The record is from RNAcentral. Lineage: Eukaryota; Fungi; Glomeromycota; Glomeromycetes; Glomerales; Glomeraceae.
AGCAGCCGCGGUAAUUCCAGCUCCAAUAGCGUAUAUUAAAGUUGUUGCAGUUAAAAGCUCGUAGUUGAAUUUCGGAAUCAGUAUGUCGGUCGUGCCUCCGGUAUGUACUGGCGUCACUGGUUCCUCCCUCUGACGAACCAUCAUGCUAUUAAUUUAGUGUGUGGAAAUCAGGACUGUUACUUUGAAAAAUUAGAGUGUUUAAAGCAGGCUCACGCUUGAAUACAUUAGCAUGGAAUAAUGAAAUAGGACGUUGAUCCUAUUUUGUUGGUUUCUAGGAUUGACGUAAUGAUUAAUAGGGAUAGUUGGGGGCAUUAGUAUUCAAUUGUCAGAGGUGAAAUUCUUGGAUUUAUUGAAGACUAACUACUGCGAAAGCAUUUGCCAAGGAUGUUUUCAUUAAUCAAGAACGAAAGUUAGGGGGAUCGAAGACGAUCAGAUACCGUCGUAGUCUUAACCAUAAACUAUGCCGACUAGGGGAUCGGAUGAUGUUAAUUUUUUUAAUGACUCAUUCGGCGCCUUACGG